GAAGUGUCCUUGUGUCCUUUUUGCAACAUAAAUGUUUUACGUUUGAUAUGGCAAAAGCGGCUGAAGGGAUUUGAAUAACAAUCCAACUAGGAAAUGCUACCAGUAUUCUCGAUACUAUGCCGCAAGGCCAUUUUUAGAUUGAUAAUUAUGGUUAUAUUUAGUUGAGUUUUUAUUUUUGGACUUAAUCGAAAUGAAUUUUCUUCCCUUUUUGUACUGUCAUCAGCAAUAAUAUAGGCAUUGUAAAACGAAACACGCAAAAAUAUGUGGCACACACUUCUCCUUCUUUCCCCUGCCCUUAUCCCACGUUAUGUGGGGUCGGCACAACAUGUUUUUCUCUUCCAUUCUCCUCUGUCUUUCGUCUCCUCAGCACUCACUCCUUUCUUUCUCAUAUCCUCUUUCACACAAUCCAUCCAUCGUUUUUUGGGUCUACCAUACGCUCUCCGUCCAUCAACAUUCAUCCCUAACAUUCUUUUGCCUAUAUGGCAUUCAUCCCUCCUCAUUACAUGCCCAUACCACGCUAACCUAGUACUCCUCAUUUUCUCCGUUACUGGAGCUACUUUCAAACUUCCUCUUAUAUACUCAUUCUUAAUACGAUCCUUUCUCGUCACUCCACACAUCCAUCUCAGCAUUCUCAUUUCCGCUGCGUGCACUCUUCUUUCAUCCGCUACUUUCGACGCCCAGCAUUCUGAUCCAUACAUUACAACAGGUCUCACGAUCGUUCUGUAUAUUUUCCCCUUAAGUUUAAGGGGCAUUCGUGGAUCGCAAGUUGUUCCAGAGACCUGUCGCCAUUUCAUCCAUCCCACAUUUAUUCUAUUUUUCAUGUCACGUGGCACACACUUAUUGCGCUAUAAAUCGGAUCCGUGUCAGAUAUUUUUGCUGCUGACUGUACUUUUCAUAUGUGAUAAAUGAUAAUGUGCUUGAGUGUAUGUACACAUUAGUCACAUAAAUAGUAAUUAAAGCAGCAAUGCUUUUCUUAAUUUUGUAUCAGCAUUCGAAGUGAACAUGAAGAUUAUAAUAGCAUUGUGUUCAAUGUUUGUGUUAGGUCUAGAGGUAGCGAGCCAAACUGGACCGUGCGGCUGCAAACCGGUGUUCGAAUAUUGCGCCAACGACUACACCACGUACCACAGCAUCUGCGAGUACAAGUGCAAACAUCCCUCCACCCCGUUCCAUGACUGGUACAUUCUGUAUAACGGGCCUUGCAUUUCUACGUCGGAGACUACAACCCAUGCAAGUACUACAACUACGCGCAAGCAUUUUAAGACUACAACGUCUACAACUGAUCCAUUUGAGGUGUACACUCCGGGUAAUAAUAUGAAUGGAUAGUUAUAGUAACACGUAUUUUGUUGUUACGAAAGAGUAACGUGGAUCACUCUAACGAUUUUGCGAAACUUAAAUAAACUAUUCAGUGGUUGA
Long non-coding RNA from Cydia splendana, 1413 nucleotides. RefSeq lists it as uncharacterized. The record is from RefSeq and is a predicted model, not a curated record. Lineage: Eukaryota; Metazoa; Arthropoda; Insecta; Lepidoptera; Tortricidae. The transcript is spliced from 2 exons.